GGGUUGUGAGGUUAAGCGACUAAGCGUACACGGUGGAUGCCCUGGCAGUCAGAGGCGAUGAAGGGCGUACUAAUCUGCGAUAAGCGCCGGUAAGGUGAUAUGAACCGUUAUAACCGGCGAUACCCGAAUGGGGAAACCCAGUGUGAUUCGUCACACUAUCAUUAACUGAAUCCAUAGGUUAAUGAGGCGAACCGGGGGAACUGAAACAUCUAAGUACCCCGAGGAAAAGAAAUCAACCGAGAUUCCCCCAGUAGCGGCGAGCGAACGGGGAGGAGCCCAGAGCCUGAAUCAGCAUGUGUGUUAGUGGAAGCGUCUGGAAAGGCGCGCGAUACAGGGUGACAGCCCCGUACACAAAAGCGCAUGUGCUGUGAGCUCGAUGAGUAGGGCGGGACACGUGGUAUCCUGUCUGAAUAUGGGGGGACCAUCCUCCAAGGCUAAAUACUCCUGACUGACCGAUAGUGAACCAGUACCGUGAGGGAAAGGCGAAAAGAACCCCGGCGAGGGGAGUGAAAAAGAACCUGAAACCGUGUACGUACAAGCAGUGGGAGCCCCACC
This 555-nucleotide ribosomal RNA is filed under the name Salmonella enterica subsp. enterica serovar Enteritidis. RNAcentral describes it as "partial 23S ribosomal RNA". It matches the Rfam family "Bacterial large subunit ribosomal RNA", at positions 1 to 586 of the family's 2925-position model. The record is from RNAcentral. Lineage: Bacteria; Pseudomonadati; Pseudomonadota; Gammaproteobacteria; Enterobacterales; Enterobacteriaceae.